Molecule: long non-coding RNA, 346 nt
Filed under: Canis lupus familiaris (dog)
Lineage: Eukaryota; Metazoa; Chordata; Mammalia; Carnivora; Canidae
Description: lncRNA (ENSCAFG00845021176.1)
Source: RNAcentral
GCGCCCGCGGGGGUCCACGGGCUGGGGGGGGGGCUCCAGGCAGCGCCCUCGCCGCCGACCCGCAGGUGCCGGAGCGCAGCCGGGUCAGGCCCCAGGCGGGCCCUGCACCCCCCAGGAGGGCCCGGCUCAGCGGGCGGGGCUCCCCGAGAGGCCGCGGUUGCCUGCCGGGCUCCCGAGGGUCUUCCCCGCGGCGCAUCCCCUCCCGCGGCAGCUGAAAGGUGGACUGCUGUCUUCUGAGGACAUUGUGUAUGAUUUCUUUCCCCUCUUUUAAGUCUACACCUAAUGCUUUGUGGAACCUGCUUUGGGAAAAGAUGGCUUCACUACCAAAAAUGAACGUCAACAAAAA